This 554-nucleotide ribosomal RNA is filed under the name Shigella sonnei. Its description in RNAcentral is "partial 23S ribosomal RNA". It matches the Rfam family "Bacterial large subunit ribosomal RNA", at positions 361 to 920 of the family's 2925-position model. Lineage: Bacteria; Pseudomonadati; Pseudomonadota; Gammaproteobacteria; Enterobacterales; Enterobacteriaceae. The record is from RNAcentral.
AGGGUGACAGCCCCGUACACAAAAAUGCACAUAUUGUGAGCUUGAUGAGUAGGGCGGGACACGUGGUAUCCUGUCUGAAUAUGGGGGGACCAUCCUCCAAGGCUAAAUACUCCUGACUGACCGAUAGUGAACCAGUACCGUGAGGGAAAGGCGAAAAGAACCCCGGCGAGGGGAGUGAAAAAGAACCUGAAACCGUGUACGUACAAGCAGUGGGAGCACGCUUAGGCGUGUGACUGCGUACCUUUUGUAUAAUGGGUCAGCGACUUAUAUUCUGUAGCAAGGUUAACCGAAUAGGGGAGCCGAAGGGAAACCGAGUCUUAACUGGGCGUUAAGUUGCAGGGUAUAGACCCGAAACCCGGUGAUCUAGCCAUGGGCAGGUUGAAGGUUGGGUAACACUAACUGGAGGACCGAACCGACUAAUGUUGAAAAAUUAGCGGAUGACUUGUGGCUGGGGGUGAAAGGCCAAUCAAACCGGGAGAUAGCUGGUUCUCCCCGAAAGCUAUUUAGGUAGCGCCUCGUGAAUUCAUCUCCGGGGGUAGAGCACUGUUUCGGCA